GAUGAACGCUGGCGGCGUGCCUAAUACAUGCAAGUCGAGCGAACAGACGAGGAGCUUGCUCCUCUGACGUUAGCGGCGGACGGGUGAGUAACACGUGGAUAACCUACCUAUAAGACUGGGAUAACUUCGGGAAACCGGAGCUAAUACCGGAUAAUAUAUUGAACCGCAUGGUUCAAUAGUGAAAGACGGUUUUGCUGUCACUUAUAGAUGGUUCCGCGCCGCAUUAGCUAGUUGGUAAGGUAACGGCUUACCAAGGCAACGAUGCGUAGCCGACCUGAGAGGGUGAUCAGCCACACUGGAACUGAGACACGGUCCAGACUCCUACGGGAGGCACCAGUAGGGAAUCUUCCGCAAUGGGCGAAAGCCUGACGGAGCAACGCCGCGUGAGUGAUGAAGGUCUUCGGAUCGUAAAACUCUGUUAUUAGGAAAGAACAAAUGUGUAAGUAACUAUGCACGUCUUGACGGUACCUAAACAGAAAGCCACGGCUAACUACGUG
RNAcentral lists this ribosomal RNA (497 nucleotides) under uncultured bacterium. RNAcentral describes it as "partial 16S ribosomal RNA". It matches the Rfam family "Bacterial small subunit ribosomal RNA", at positions 28 to 507 of the family's 1533-position model. The record is from RNAcentral.